AGAAUCAACGCUGGCGGCGUGCCUAACACAUGCAAGUCGAUCGAGAAAGUGGAGCAAUCCAUGAGUAAAGAGGCGCACGGGUGAGUAACACGUGACUAACCUACCCUCGAGUGGGGAAUAACCUGGGGAAACCCGGGCUAAUACCGCAUAAUACCCACGGGUCAAAGGAGCAAUUCGCUUGAGGAGGGGUCGCGGCAGAUUAGUUAGUUGGCGGGGUAAUGGCCCACCAAGACGAUGAUCUGUAUCCGGCCUGAGAGGGCGCGCGGACACACUGGAACUGAAACACGGUCCAGACUCCUACGGGAGGCAGCAGUGGGGAAUUUUGCGCAAUGGGGGAAACCCUGACGCAGCAACGCCGCGUGGAGGAUGAAGUCCCUUGGGACGUAAACUCCUUUCGACCGGGACGAUAAUGACGGUACCGGAUGAAGAAGCCCCGGCUAACUUCGCGCCAGCAGCCGC
Molecule: ribosomal RNA, 459 nt
Filed under: uncultured bacterium
Lineage: Bacteria
Description: SSU rRNA
Rfam family: Bacterial small subunit ribosomal RNA
Source: RNAcentral